GCGGCCUAUCAGCUUGUUGGUGAGGUAAUGGCUCACCAAGGCGACGACGGGUAGCCGGCCUGAGAGGGCGACCGGCCACACUGGGACUGAGACACGGCCCAGACUCCUACGGGAGGCAGCAGUGGGGAAUAUUGCACAAUGGGCGAAAGCCUGAUGCAGCGACGCCGCGUGAGGGAUGACGGCCUUCGGGUUGUAAACCUCUUUCAGCAGGGAAGAAGCGAAAGUGACGGUACCUGCAGAAGAAGCGCCGGCUAACUACGUGCCAGCAGCCGCGGUAAUACGUAGGGCGCAAGCGUUGUUCGGAAUUAUUGGGCGUAAAGAGCUCGUAGGCGGUCUGUCGCGUCGGAUGUGAAAGCCCGGGGCUUAACCCCGGGUCUGCAUUCGAUACGGGCAGACUAGAGUGUGGUAGGGGAGAUCGGAAUUCCUGGUGUAGCGGUGAAAUGCGCAGAUAUCAGGAGGAACACCGGUGGCGAAGGCGGAUCUCUGGGCCAUUACUGACGCUGAGGAGCGAAAGCGUGGGGAGCGAACAGGAUUAGAUACCCUGGUAGUCCACGCCGUAAACGGUGGGAACUAGGUGUUGGCGACAUUCCACGUCGUCGGUGCCGCAGCUAACGCAUUAAGUUCCCCGCCUGGGGAGUACGG
This 642-nucleotide ribosomal RNA is filed under the name uncultured bacterium. Its description in RNAcentral is "bacterial SSU rRNA". It matches the Rfam family "Bacterial small subunit ribosomal RNA", at positions 233 to 885 of the family's 1533-position model. The record is from RNAcentral.